CGGACCAAGAUGGAGAAGCAGGGCACGUGCAAUACUAAUUCACGAAUUACGAGAGAAUUAUAUUUUUCUCUCUUAGUUUUACUGACUUAGUAUUUCAUGUGCCCCUCUUCCCCAUCAUGAUCAC
This is a non-coding RNA of Lupinus albus (white lupine), 124 nucleotides long. NCBI's taxonomy places the organism in Eukaryota, Viridiplantae, Streptophyta, Magnoliopsida, Fabales, Fabaceae. The record is from the annotation of a GenBank genome assembly.